UACGGAGGGUGCAAGCGUUAUCCGGAUUCACUGGGUUUAAAGGGUGCGUAGGUGGGCAGGUAAGUCAGUGGUGAAAUCUCCGGGCUUAACCCGGAAACUGCCUUUGAUACUAUCUGUCUUGAAUAUCGCGUAGGUAAGCGGAAUAUGUCAUGUAGCGGUGAAAUGCUUAGAUAUGACAUAGAACACCAAUUGCGAAGGCAGCUUCCUUCACGAUCAUUGACACUGAUGCACGAAAGCGUGGGGAGCAAACAGG
This 253-nucleotide ribosomal RNA is filed under the name uncultured bacterium. RNAcentral's name for it is "partial 16S ribosomal RNA". It matches the Rfam family "Bacterial small subunit ribosomal RNA", at positions 524 to 776 of the family's 1533-position model. The record is from RNAcentral.